Molecule: long non-coding RNA, 510 nt
Organism: Dromaius novaehollandiae (emu)
Lineage: Eukaryota; Metazoa; Chordata; Aves; Casuariiformes; Dromaiidae
Exons: 3
Source: RefSeq, a predicted model, not a curated record
GGCAGAUAGUGUGCAGCAUCAACCUCAAUGUCUUUGUGACUUUAUCAAGUCUUCUGCUCUUCCCCUGUGCACGUGAUUUGUCUUCAGUGUUGGUGACUCUUCAGGAAGGGACUCUCUUCAUGGGACAUGGAUGAGACAAGGCUCCUUCUACCAGUUGCUCUGGCUGGCUUGCCACCUUCCUGCAUACAAAAGAAGUCGUGCUGUGCUGAAGCCGUGUUACCUCUCCGUUACGACCUAUCCUUUGAGAGCCCGCCUGGCUGUCAGCAGGCAGGGGAGAGCCACACCGAUGGGAAACACACCACCCGUAACAGCUGGCCGCUGCCUAUGGUUACUGCUAUGCUAAAGCCACGGGUCUUCUUGAAACCAGAUUUCACUGGUACCUCUGGAGCUUUCCUUGCCUACAAAGUUUUACCAGGUGGAUGUUAGGAUUUUUUUUAUUUCUUCUUUUAGUUCCUGUGAGUUGGGUGUUGACAUAUGCAGAAGCAGUACUCUUGAACAAGCCUUUUCCAG